This 2466-nucleotide ribosomal RNA is filed under the name Triticum aestivum (bread wheat). Its description in RNAcentral is "partial small subunit ribosomal RNA". The record is from RNAcentral. Lineage: Eukaryota; Viridiplantae; Streptophyta; Magnoliopsida; Poales; Poaceae.
CGACGGAGGAGAGUCAAGAGGUGUGGGUGUGUGAAGUGUAUGGAAUAGGGAAGGUGACAGAGUGGUGGCGAGAGUCCCUUUUUCGGCGGCGGUGGCAGGAGCCACGAGGACCGUCAAUCCCGCUUCCUCAGGGAUCCGUACGACGACGACGCGGUUGCGGAGGCCGUAGGCGUGGCAGCACCCGUUGCGGUUUAUGUUGCGGCCACGGCGUAUAUGCGCGCGCGUGGCCAACGGCGGAGCCGGAGCCACGCGGGCCGGCGCCUCCUCCCCCUCCUCGUCCUCGUCACCGCGUCCUCGGCUGUUGCAUCUGCCUCCCUCUCCUCAUCGCGCUCCCCGCGUCUGCCUCCCCAGCGGCCCCUGCAAACCGCACGGUGGUGUGUUGCCAGGGCCCGGCGGCGCCCCUCCGUCUCUUCGCUGUGCCCUCCAAACACGACCGACGGGACGAAGAGGAACAAUGACUACCUAAAAGACUACACGUCUAUCGAUCAAACGCGGGUAGUGACGAUUUUUAAACUUGCUUAGAACAAGAAGCAGCCUUUAGGUUAACUUAAAGGUAGAGCAAGACUUAACUCAAGACUAACAGCCCACUGUCUCCACUCUCCUAUCGGCUUGUUGCUCGAGCGUCAGUGUCCCAGUGAUACGCUCUCGUGUAUAGGAGCGUACCGUCCAAUGUACAUCGGGAUAUUUUAGUUUAAGUCGGGGUACAAUGGACUAAAAGACACUUACCUAAAAUGACGAAAAGUCAAAACCUGGGACACAUUGAACAACAUAAAGACCUCGUCACGUCGCUCCUACUCCGAUACUUCAUGCAGGUUAUGAAUUGGAUGUCGGUAGAUUAUACGUUUAAAUUAUAUCACCUUUUACUUUUUGUUUUUUUCAUAUUCUUCUGGGUUAAGGAGAAAAUACACGUGGAACACACGCAUCUGUGACCUGAUGUUAACAUCGUUGUUUCUCAUAUAGUUAAAUAGUCCAUUAUCUUUAUCACGAUGAAAAAACCUACGUCAGUGUUUCUCUUCUGAAAAAAAACACUAAUCUCUCCCAUGAAAGAAUGAACGACUAGUGACUUACGCACUCACUAGUAAUAAUACAACCUAACCAUCUACAACAAACUACGGUAUUUUUCCGAGACAUGGACUUAGUUGAUAUCUCACGGGUUUCUUUCUUCUUUAUUUGUGAAACUAUUAAAUCGUGGUAAUUUUUUAGCUACUUGAUUGGAAAAAAAUUUCUGAGAAGACCCUAUACAUCCAGCUGCUAACAUGACUCAACCCCCAAGAGUUUGUCAAACUGUAAACCCACUCACAGUAAACAGAACUUUAAGCAACGUAGACCAUACGUAGUAAAGACACGUUGGGUAACCUGAGUAGUAGAAGUAUUUAUAAGAGAAAAAGCAGCUCCUACAGACAACUUUACGUACCUUAAACCAUGACGUGGUGGACGCGUACAAUACAAGACGUCAACACACUGACGGUUAACAAGCUAUCGACCGUACACACUGUGUUACAAUGACGGUAACUCCUGCCGUUGUUAUACGAAUAAAACGAACGCCCAAACUGCAACAGCGAAAUUAUAAAGGAGAGAUAAAACACGUAUGAUGAAGUAAAGGUAGGCUAAGAAUUAGAGUAAUACCAGACUUAUAUACUUCUUAUCUAGUAAUAUAUCAUUAUGUUGACCCGGCAUAUAGUACUUCAACUAGUAGCAAUGGAACACUAUGUCGGUUGACACACACAUGAGACAAUAAAUCCGGUAACUAGAACCGUCGCCGUUAAAAAAAAAGACAAACAUCCGGAGUGCGGCAGAGAAUAAUUAGAGUAGGGAUAAAACACGUAUAACGAGAGAUAGGUAGGCGGAAAAAUAAAGAAAUCCCAGACGUUUAGUACUGUGUUAAGUCGUCAACUCGUUGUUAGCUCACUAACCCAAUACUAGUAAUGGACAACCCUCACCAUCCCCGAUAUGCUUCGGCAAGUUGGGAUUUUCGUUCUCCUAGUUAGUUUACCUAGUGUGACCGGGUACAACCGUUUAUUCGUACGUGGACACCUCGUCAAGUAGCCGCAACACUGCAGCAGCAUGUGCGUCACGCCGCUACCGCGCCCUGUCAGAACCCACCACCGCCGUACAUUUUCGGAGUACUUCAAGUCUGUUAGACCCGCUGUAGAAACAACCACUUCUCGAGCCUGCACUUACCGCGUCCCGUCCAGUCGAGCAGCGUGGGCAGCAGCCCAGGUAGCAGCCGACGCGUCCCGUCGCUACCGUGUCCAGUUGGACCUGCGGACCUACCGUUGUUUCAAGUCUGUCAGACCCACCAUGGACAUAACUGCUUCUCGAGCAGCAACGCCGGCAGUAGACCACGGAACGGCAGACGCGUCCCGUCGCUACCGCGUCCAUUUGGACCUGCAGACCUACUGUUAUCUCAAGUCGAUCAGACCCGCGACGUGGACACAGCGGCUUCUCGAACAGCAACGGCAGCAC